Molecule: non-coding RNA, 408 nt
Organism: Odocoileus virginianus texanus
Lineage: Eukaryota; Metazoa; Chordata; Mammalia; Artiodactyla; Cervidae
Source: the annotation of a RefSeq genome assembly
AUGAGACAGAUGACAAGAGUAACCGUGCUCCUGACCUUGGGUACUUUGAGUUUUGCUAAGACCUCCCAGCCCGUCUUCAUUGACUCAUACGAAGGACAAGACUUGAACAUAUCCUGUAACCACACCACGAUAGCUACAAAUGACUAUAUCUUCUGGUAUCGACAGUUCCCCAACCAGGGACCACAAUAUAUCAUUCAAGGAUAUAAGACAAACGUGGAAAAUGAAGUGGCAUCUCUGUUCAUUCCUACUGACAGGAAGGUCAGCACCCUGAUGCUGCCCCGGGCUUCCCUGAGAGACAGCGCUGUGUACUAUUGCAUUGUGAGGACGCACACUGCGACAGAUGGGGCUGCACCUGUGCAGUAUCCCCGUGUGGGGUGGGAGUCACAGCCCAGGGGAUCCCCAGUGUAG